RNAcentral lists this long non-coding RNA (286 nucleotides) under Lathyrus oleraceus (garden pea). RNAcentral's name for it is "Pisum sativum (pea) long non-coding RNA (PSAT_LNC032420)". The record is from RNAcentral. Lineage: Eukaryota; Viridiplantae; Streptophyta; Magnoliopsida; Fabales; Fabaceae.
UAACUUUUGCCUGGACUGGUUCUUUUGAACUCUCAGUCCACCGGGAUGCCCUAAUUUUUGCUUGAGUCAACUUCUUGGUGUUCAACUUAGCAGUUUCUUUUUUUCCUACUGAUAUGAUUGUCAUGUCAUUGGUUAUCGAGGAACAAUUACUUGAUAUUUUUUUGAUGUGUGUUAAAAAGGCAAGUGGUUACACCUUUUAGAUGUUCAGAAUGAUUCUCUUAAGAUUUGAAUGCAUAACCAAAUUAACUGAAAACUACCCUGCCCUAGGUUCAUAUCAAGGGUUUUU